AGCAGCCGCGGUAAUUCCAGCUCCAAUAGCGUAUAUUAAAGUUGUUGCAGUUAAAAAGCUCGUAGUUGAAUUUCGGGACCAAUAUGUCGGUCGUGCCUCGGUACGUACUGGCAUCGUUGGUUUCUCCUUUCUGAAGAACCAUGAUGUCAUUUAUUUGGUGUCGUGGGGAAUCAGGACUGUUACUUUGAAAAAAAUUAGAGUGUUUAAAGCAGGCUCACGCUUGAAUACAUUAGCAUGGAAUAAUGAAAUAGGACGUUUGAUUCUAUUUUGUUGGUUUCUAGGAUCGACGUAAUGAUUAAUAGGGAUAGUUGGGGGCAUUAGUAUUCAAUUGUCAGAGGUGAAAUUCUUGGAUUUAUUGAAGACUAACUACUGCGAAAGCAUUUGCCAAGGAUGUUUUCAUUAAUCAAGAACGAAAGUUAGGGGAUCGAAGACGAUCAGAUACCGUCGUAGUCUUAACCAUAAACUAUGCCGACUAGGGAUCGGAUGAUGUUAAUUUUUUAAUGACUCAUUCGGCGCCUUA
RNAcentral lists this ribosomal RNA (520 nucleotides) under uncultured Glomus. Its description in RNAcentral is "SSU rRNA". It matches the Rfam family "Eukaryotic small subunit ribosomal RNA", at positions 569 to 1090 of the family's 1831-position model. Lineage: Eukaryota; Fungi; Glomeromycota; Glomeromycetes; Glomerales; Glomeraceae. The record is from RNAcentral.